CCUCCCCCUUGUUCAGAAAUUUGCUGAUUGUUAAGUCACUUCUGAACCUUUUUGCGCAAAAAUAAAGAUCUCUCUUUCACCCAUGGAAUUUCGUAAAAGCCCUUUAUUUUUUUAACCCAACAUCCUUCUUUAGGGCCACAACAGGGCUGAAAUUCCUCCAGGUGGUGGGCCUGGACUCAUAAAAAAUAUAUAUAUGGUGACUGAACAUAGACAAUCAAUGGGGGAGGUAAGCAGAAUUGUAAAAUCUUUUCAUCAAAUUUUAGUGUAAAAAUUGACUUCAAAUUCAGAAUUAGCACAUCAAUAUACCCUAAAAUGGUCCAUUUUAGUGAAAAGGGUAUUGAUACUAUUACUUUAAAUUCACAUGGAAUCAUAGCAAUAAAGAUAUUAUAAUAGGAAUGUGCAUUAACAGAUUUCCCCUUCUCUCUAAAUUUGAAAGCUCUUCGUGAGAAAAUUGAAAUAAAUAUUUGAUGCAGUCUGCUUUAAAUUAUUCAUAGAAUUUAAAGGCCACCUUCCUCUAAAUGGUGGUGUUACUUUAGGCCAGUCACUUUCUCUCAGCCAUUAAUGACUGGAAAAUACACAAAAACAGAACAGGUAGCAAUCAACUUGAAUUGUUUUGUAACAAAAGACAAGGGUAAUAUUAUAAUUUGUUAUUGUAAAACAGCUUCAGUCAUCUGCAUUUAGCAUAGGCAAGCUAACUGCAGAUAAUGGAAAAUGCAAUCCAACAACUCUCAAGGCCUAAUAGCUCUUGUAGAUACAUACAUCUGGAGAGAACCUAGUUUAAAAUGAUCUGAAACAGAAGUAGAUAUUUAUUCUGAACACUACAGGCAAAAGGGCAUAAAAUAGGCCUUCAGAUUCAUUAUUAACAUAUUCAAAGAUUAAAUUUCAGGUUAAGAAAGAAGUUUAUUUCUUUCUUUUAAAGAAAAUACUUCUUAUCAAAUAACAAAAACAAAAAAUAAUUAUCAAAUUUCAAGAAAUUUGUUUACCUAUAUUACUAGAAACAUCUUCACAUAUAUUUAUAUAAAAAUCAUUCAUGUAAACUCAAUAGGCAAUAUGAAUACAUAUUAGAAGGUGACAAAAUAAUAAAACAGAACUUUAUCUAUUUUAAUUACGGUAAGGACCCUGUUUAGUAUAAUGAUUAUGGUCUGGCCUAGAAAUCCUGAAAACUGAUUUUAGGCCUCCUUUAGGCAUGAAAGCCAACAGCCUUCCAAUUUUAUUGAUGUAUCCAGAAAUUGGGAAAAUAUAUGUGGUAAUAAAGAAGAUGGAACCAUAGUUCCACAUAUUUUGUCCAACCCUACUGUGUUUUUAUAAGAAUAUAGAUGAACAUAGUGUAUAAAUGCAGACUCACUGUGUGCAGAGAUCACUGUGCAAGCCCCAGAACCCAGGAAAAGAAGAGAGGAGUUGACACAGUUUGUGUCCAGGAUGUGAGGGGCCGAAGUUCAUUUGAAAGUUAAUUUGAACUGGAUGAGCAUGUGCCAGCAUUGGACAUUGUUUGAAAUGCUGAUUUUUCAGUCAAACUCUAUUCUAGAAAUGUCUGUAACAAUCAGACUGCUUUGCAACAGCUGCACUUUUUGCUGCAUAAAUAUAUUGUGAGAAAUCACACUCCAGUAGCAUUGAGUCUCUUGGGGUUUGUUUGCUCCUCUCAUAAAAACACUUUUUUUCAGAAAAGGAGUUCAGGAGGAUGGGGCUAUACCCUGAUCAAAGCUUAAAGGUCAGUAGCCAUUUUGUUUUUGACUCAGUUCCUGGAAGGGGAAGGCAGCCAUUUCAUCUACCAUGAAGGGAUCUGAGGAUAGGAGAGCAGUCUGAACAGACAUGUGUCAACCUGUCAAGGUUCUUUUGCAGUGUCAAGACAUGAGGGGGGAAGGUUAGAGGAAGAAGAACAGAUUUGGUUCAAAAUCAUUAAUAUGAGAGGCUAAAGGUUUUGGGCCCACAAGUCCUUUGACUCUGGUAAAAUAUAGGUAAUGACCCUGAACAUGACUAUCUUGCUUGGAUUCAAGGUGCAAUUUGCUUCUUGUUGGAUGUUUUAAUUUUCUAAUGUCAAUUUUGCAAAAGAUUCCUAAACAGUAGAUGAAAAUGAAACUUACACAAUAACUUCCCCUACCUAUAUUUCCCAUCUAUGUUUAUAGGACUACAUUUUGUCAGUGAUUUAUAAAGACUUAAUGUUUUGUAAACUUAUUUUUUUUAUAAAAUACAGGUCUUGUACGUUCACUUGAAUAAUCCCUUGAUUUCUUCCAUUAUAAUGGAUGAUUAUGUUUUAGACUGGGCUAGUAAAAUAGUCUUUAUUCUGUAAUCUGCCAACAGAUCAGCAAGGCCCAGCUAUGUAAAGCACAUUGUAAACAUUAGACAGGAGAAAGAGGAAGAUACUCAGGGAAGAGAGAACACAGAGAAAGCUUUGGAAAAAGAACUUGAGCCUCAGGAAUCAAGAAAGAAAAAAACUACUCAGCUAUUUAAUAAUUGAAAGAAACAAAUCCAGAAUUCCUAUUGUUAGAAAGAGGUAACUGAAUUGUCAUUUUUACAGCUGGACCUUUUAGGAGAAGAGGAAACCUUGUGCAAUUUUAACAUGGAUGGAAAAUAGCAGAUUAUUGACCAAAAAUCUGUUUCCUUCUUGCUGACCUGGAAAGAGACAACUACCGUCCUUCUAGAGGACGCUCAAGAAGGAUCAGAAGUGGAUCCCGAAGAAGAGGUGGAUAGACUUUACCA
Long non-coding RNA from Crotalus tigris (Tiger rattlesnake), 2697 nucleotides. RefSeq lists it as uncharacterized. The transcript has 3 exons. The record is from RefSeq and is a predicted model, not a curated record. NCBI's taxonomy places the organism in Eukaryota, Metazoa, Chordata, Lepidosauria, Squamata, Viperidae.